Molecule: ribosomal RNA, 253 nt
Filed under: uncultured bacterium
Lineage: Bacteria
Description: partial 16S ribosomal RNA
Rfam family: Bacterial small subunit ribosomal RNA
Source: RNAcentral
GACAGAGGGUGCAAACGUUGCUCGGAAUCACUGGGCGUAAAGCGCACGUAGGCGGAUUGCUAAGUCAGGGGUGAAAUCCUGGAGCUCAACUCCAGAACUGCCUUUGAUACUGGCGACCUUGAGUCCGGGAGAGGUGAGUGGAACUGCGAGUGUAGAGGUGAAAUUCGUAGAUAUUCGCAAGAACACCAGUGGCGAAGGCGGCUCACUGGCCCGGUACUGACGCUGAGGUGCGAAAGCGUGGGGAGCAAACAGG